GUAGGUGGCAAGCGUUGUCCGGAAUUAUUGGGCGUAAAGCGCGCGCAGGUGGUUCGUUUAAGUCUGAUGUGAAAGACCCCCGGGCUCAACCGGGGAGGGUCAUUGGAAACUGGGGAACGUUGAGUGCAGGAGAGGAAAGUGGAAUUCCACGUGUAGCGGUGAAAUGCGUAGAUAUGUGGAGGAACACCAGUGGCGAAGGCGACUUUCUGGCCUGUAACUGACACUGAGGCGCGAAAGCGUGGGGAGCAAACAGGAUUAGAUACCCUGGUAGUCCACGCCGUAAACGAUGAGUGCUAAGUGUUGGGGGGUUUCCGCCCCUCAGUGCUGCAGCUAACGCAUUAAGCACUCCGCCUGGGGAGUACGGUCGCAAAGACUG
Molecule: ribosomal RNA, 376 nt
Filed under: uncultured organism
Description: partial 16S ribosomal RNA
Rfam family: Bacterial small subunit ribosomal RNA
Source: RNAcentral